CCUACGGGUGGCUGCAGUGAGGAAUAUUGGUCAAUGGGCGGAAGCCUGAACCAGCCAAGUAGCGUGCAGGAUGACGGCCCUACGGGUUGUAAACUGCUUUUAUACGGGAAUAACGCGCCUUACGUGUAGGGCUUUGCGUGUACCGGAUGAAUAAGGACCGGCUAAUUCCGUGCCAGCAGCCGCGGUAAUACGGCAGGUCCGGGCGUUAUCCGGAUUUAUUGGGUUUAAGGGGUGCGCAGGCGGGCCUUUAAGCCGGCGGUGAAAGCCCGGGGCUCAACCCCGCCGAGCCGUCGGAACUGGGGGCCUUGAGUGCGGCGGAGGCAUGCGGAAUGCGCGGUGUAGCGGUGAAAUGCAUAGAUAUCGCGCAGAACCCCGAUUGCGAAGGCAGCGUGCCGUGCCGCCACUGACGCUGAGGCACGAAAGCGCGGGGAUCGUACAGGAUUAGAUACCCCAGUAGUC
This 459-nucleotide ribosomal RNA is filed under the name uncultured bacterium. RNAcentral describes it as "partial 16S ribosomal RNA". It matches the Rfam family "Bacterial small subunit ribosomal RNA", at positions 338 to 795 of the family's 1533-position model. The record is from RNAcentral.